This 422-nucleotide ribosomal RNA is filed under the name uncultured bacterium. Its description in RNAcentral is "bacterial SSU rRNA". It matches the Rfam family "Bacterial small subunit ribosomal RNA", at positions 355 to 774 of the family's 1533-position model. The record is from RNAcentral.
UAAGGAAUAUUGGUCAAUGGAGGCAACUCUGAACCAGCCAUGCCGCGUGAAGGAUUAAGGCCCUCUGGGUUGUAAACUUCUUUUAUAUGGGAAGAAAUGUUCUGAUUCUUCAGAGCUUGACGGUACCAUAGGAAUAAGCACCGGCUGACUCCGUGCCAGCAGCCGCGGUAAUACGGAGGGUGCAAGCGUUAUCCGGAUUCACUGGGUUUAAAGGGUGCGUAGGUGGGCAGAUAAGUCAGUGGUGAAAUCUUCCGGCUUAACCGGAAAAUUGCCGUUGAUACUAUUUGUCUUGAAUAUUGUGGAGGUAAGCGGAAUAUGUCAUGUAGCGGCGAAAUGCUUAGAUAUGACAUAGAACACCAAUUGCGAAGGCAGCUUACUAUAUAAUUAUUGACACUGAGGCACGAAAGCGUGGGUAGCGAACA